GAUGAACGCUAGCGGGAGGCCUAACACAUGCAAGCCGAGCGGUAGAGAUUCUUCGGAAUCUUGAGAGCGGCGUACGGGUGCGAAACACGUGUGCAACCUGCCUUUAUCAGGGGGAUAGCCUUUCGAAAGGAAGAUUAAUACCCCAUAAUAUAUUUGAUGGCAUCAUUAGAUAUUGAAAGCUUUGGCGGAUAGAGAUGGGCACGCGCAAGAUUAGCUAGUUGGUGAGGUAACGGCUCACCAAGUCGAUGAUCUUUAGGGGGCCUGAGAGGGUGAUCCCCCACACUGGUACUGAGACACGGACCAGACUCCUACGGGAGGCAGCAGUGAGGAAUAUUGGACAAUGGGUUAGCGCCUGAUCCAGCCAUCCCGCGUGAAGGACGACGGCCCUAUGGGUUGUAAACUUCUUUUGUACAGGGAUAAACCUACUCUCGUGAGAGUAGCUGAAGGUACUGUACGAAUAAGCACCGGCUAACUCCGUG
RNAcentral lists this ribosomal RNA (479 nucleotides) under uncultured bacterium. RNAcentral describes it as "partial 16S ribosomal RNA". It matches the Rfam family "Bacterial small subunit ribosomal RNA", at positions 28 to 507 of the family's 1533-position model. The record is from RNAcentral.